AGAGAGAGACAUGCGCGCAUAUCAAUAAGCGGAGGAAAAGAAACUAACAAGGAUUCCCUUAGUAACGGCGAGUGAAGCGGGAAGAGCUCAAAUUUGAAAUCUUCAAGGUUUUACCUUGACGAAUUGUAGUUUAAAGAAGUGUUUUCUGCUGGAAGUUUUGGUAAAAGUUCUUUGGAAUAGGACAUCAUAGAGGGUGAGAAUCCCGUAUUUGACCAUUAUUUUCAGCUUUGUGAUACACUUUCAAAGAGUCGGAUUGUUUGGGAAUGCAGUCCAAAAUGGGUGGUAAAUUUCAUCUAAAGCUAAAUAUUGGCGAGAGACCGAUAGCGAACAAGUACCGUGAGGGAAAGAUGAAAAGAACUUUGAAAAGAGAGUUAAACAGUACGUGAAAUUGUCAAAAGGGAAGCGUUUGACACCAGUGUUGUUUUCUCGAAAAUCAAUUAAAAAUGGCUCGAUUUUGUAUUGUUGAGACCUUAAAAGCUCACUGUACAUUUUUCGUGUCUUUUUUAAUGCACUUUUCGUUUAACAAGUCAACAUCAGUUUCUUUUGUUGUAAAAGGGUCAUUGGAAGGUGGCUUUCUUUUCGGAGAAAGUGUUUAUAGCCUUUGGCCUCUGCAAUCGGAAGAGACUGAGGUCUGCAGCGUAGACUCUUCGGGGUUAGAUACAUUUGUGCUAAGUUAUAGCUUUUUAUAGACAACUUGUUGACUAUAAUUAGUCUUGUAGCUUACUCGCUUAUGCUAUUUUACCUACGCUUAGGAUGUUGAAGUCAUCGUAUCGCGC
RNAcentral lists this ribosomal RNA (776 nucleotides) under uncultured Neocallimastigales. RNAcentral's name for it is "partial large subunit ribosomal RNA". It matches the Rfam family "Eukaryotic large subunit ribosomal RNA", at positions 23 to 645 of the family's 3401-position model. Lineage: Eukaryota; Fungi; Neocallimastigomycota; Neocallimastigomycetes; Neocallimastigales. The record is from RNAcentral.